RNAcentral lists this ribosomal RNA (253 nucleotides) under uncultured bacterium. RNAcentral's name for it is "partial 16S ribosomal RNA". It matches the Rfam family "Bacterial small subunit ribosomal RNA", at positions 524 to 776 of the family's 1533-position model. The record is from RNAcentral.
UACGUAGGGGGCUAGCGUUGUCCGGAAUCAUUGGGCGUAAAGCGCACGUAGGCGGACCGUUAAGUCGGAGGUGAAAUCCUGGGGCUCAACCCCAGAACUGCCUUCGAUACUGGCGGUCUUGAGUCCGGGAGAGGUGAGUGGAACUGCUAGUGUAGAGGUGAAAUUCGUAGAUAUUAGGAAGAACACCGGUGGCGAAGGCGGCCCACUGGCUCGAUACUGACGCUGAGGUGCGAAAGCGUGGGGAGCAAACAGG